Molecule: RNA transcript, 3657 nt
Organism: Triticum aestivum (bread wheat)
Lineage: Eukaryota; Viridiplantae; Streptophyta; Magnoliopsida; Poales; Poaceae
Exons: 8
Source: RefSeq, a predicted model, not a curated record
CCCGAGAGCAAGGAGCAACGACACGAGUGCUUCUCUCAAACAGAAAAAGAAAAGGGCUGAGCUAGGGUUUGAACCACCAUCUCUCCGGCCUGCCCGCCAGCAGCACGCCGGCGAGCCUGGCGUCCAUGGAGGCGAUGGGGGCGGGAGGGGCAUGGGCCAAGGGUCGGCCCGUGGUGGGGUGCUGGGCCGGGCGCGGCAGCACGGGACCCGUCGAGGACAGGGGCGCGUGUAGUGGGUGUUCCUCGGCUGCCCCGGAGUGGGCAAGGGCACGUACGCAUGCCGCCUCUUGCGGCUCCUCGGCAUGCCCCACAUCGCCACCUGCGACCUUGUCUGCGGCGAGCUCGCCUCCCAAGGCCCCUCUCCAAGCAGGAGUUAAGGUUGUAUUUCUGAGGGGAGCAUGUCUAUUACCUUGAUUGAGUUGACUUUUGGCUAUUGUAUUAUUGUUACAACUUACCAGCGAAAUAGAAAGAGAGACAUGUCUGAAAAGGAUGCAGGCAGAUGGGGCAAUGCACCCAUGAGCUCGCCACUAUGCUUAUAACUAGCUUGUUCAAUUUCUCCUUAGGAAGACGCUAAUGAUGAGCAACAUUCCUUGGGACACGCCGGAAAUCCAGAGGACACGAGUGGUGUCCCUUCAAAUGCAUGUAUCUUCCAAUAUGUAUUAUUUAACCUUAGUGAUUGUAUUUAUAGACACUUUGUGUUGCUUCUGUUUGUAGUUGCAGAAGUUUGAAGGAGUCAGGGUAGCUUCCAUAUCUGUAGUUAGGGCUGGCGAUUGUGAUUUUGGGCCUGUACUGAAUAAUUUUGGGAGCGGCUGGGUAAUUACAAGCCAGGAGGACUGCAUGUGAUGAGUUCAGGGCUUAAGGCACAAGAAUAACUACGGCCAUUUUAGCUCCAACAGUAAGUACACAACCAAUCAACCAUGCAUUUUCACGACCCAGGUUUCUGAAUUCUGGCUGGCUGGCUCGCUGGCACAGCCACAUAAUCUCACACAUUCAAAUUGCUAGCUACACAAAAAAUGCCCAGAUCUACGAGUAGAAAUCCAAGGUAACACUUAGUGCCUACAAGCAUUUACUUCAUUUUUAUCUUCAUGUAAAAAGAGAAUGCAAGCUGAAAUAUACAGUCUGCAGAUUCCUCAUGUAUGUUCAAUUUUCAGAAUAGGAAGAACGAGACCGACAGCCCUUUAAUUAGAUUGGCUGAAGCAGCAUACAUACAUAUUACAAUUUUGCAUUUUAAAUUUGAAGACUAAGGCAACGACCGAUCGAUGUAAUUGGUGGUGAAUAUCUGUUUUCUUGUUUGUAUUUAAUCUUAGAAAACAGAAUCUCAUCAAGAGAAAAUCCGUAGGCAUUGCAGUCCAAUUAUUCUAGGGAUUGGAACCAGACAUGUGACUGAAUACUGCUUGGAACAUGUGAUUCUGCAAAGUUUGCGUACAUGCACCUUCUUGGAUGAUACAACUUCUCUAUGUUUGUACCUCCUCGUCAUUCAAAUUUUACAAACUUUAUGAAUAAAAAGUAGAAAGUAAUGUUCUCACUUCUCUUUUUAUGACCUUCAUUAUCUCAGUCUCAACAACAUCCAGGAGAUGUACCUAUGUAGCUACUGUUAGUUCAAAAGAUUUAUUUCACAAGUUGGCAAUACGAUAUUCAGGUAGUUAAGCAGGUGUUAUAGUUCUAAUUUACUUUUGUCUCAUAACACUUGGUCUCAUAAACAGUAGAGACUGUAGCCCAGUGUUGCUCAUUGCACACUUAUACUUAUUCUGAUUUUUGAUGGCCUCCUAAAUUUGAAUUAUUGUCUUGAUGUCAGGUGGAGGACCUUUGCAAUAUUAUCAAGCUUUACGCCAAACUGGCACUCUUACUUGAUCCCGUAUUUACUCCUUCAAACAAUUUGUGCACAAAGUUGAGGAAGUUGGGGCCAAUAAUCAUGUUAGAAUAAACUUCUUUCUUCCUUUAACAGUUUGUUUCCAUAAUGUGGGACAGCAGGAUCCGCGUCCCACUAUGAGGGACCGACCUUCAGAGAUCAGCUACCGGCGUCAUACUGCCCCUGCAAGGCACCACAUGGAAGCCUCCUCUUUGAUUUUAGCAACAAUCACUCCCACUGACACCACGGUGUGAGAAAAACACGAGCAUUCCUCUCCUUCCAAAUUUCCCACGAGAUAAGCAUCAUUAAAGAGCAUGAUAGUUCUUAUCUCCUCAAGUCUCAGAUCCAUUUUUAUCACCCUUUGAGAGCAUGGAUCACCAUAUGGAAGGAGAUGCCAUCCUUACUGUCGUUGUCUUUGGCAUGUUGCUGCCAUCUUUCUAAUCCUUGCACUGUAGAUACCUCAGUCUAUCCAUGGUAACUGUUACCUUGCUACACCUCCACAUAUGGAAAACUUAAACUUGGCAGUCUAAAAUUAAGCAGCAAACUUCAUUGCCGGUUAUCUAAAAAUUCAGUGACAACAGCUGGCACACGAGCUUCAUUUUUUAGUAGAGAUAGUAGACGAUGCAGAUGACAGUUCUACCUCUUUGACUGAAAUAAGAACUUUCUCACCAAGGGCAUACCUACAAGACAGGGGCAUACCUGCAGGACAGCAGGAGGUCCUCAGGCACCCAUCACACAUUCACCAAAGAUAUGGAGCUACCAUUUUAGAUUAGUACUAGCAUAUUGGUACAUAGUGCGUGUGUUUUAGCAUAUUAGUAGUAGCAUACCUGCAGGAGGUCCUAAGUUUGUUCAGUUCUAUACAAAUUUGAGUUGGUAUUUAGUGUUGAGAGGAUCCUAAAAUAUUGUACUACAUAAUCUCUUUCCAGGUUCUUGAAAACUUGCACUCUUGUGUUGAAUUUCGCAUUUUGGUCGAUCUGCACUGCAUCUUUUAUUGUUGUCAGCCUAGAAUUAUAUCGCAUUUUUAUCUUGUACGGGCAGAUUCAUAAGUAUGCCUUCAUACUAAUUUGACUGCAUGAUUUAAUUAGUGGCUGCAAUAUUAUUUCAUGGUCCACAACAGAACUGAAGCUGCCAAAAUGAAACUUUCUUCUUCUCAUGUAUCAAAGUAUUAACCAACCAAUUUUUUUUAGUAUCUAAAUUGUUAUGUUUAGGAUGAUAACAGAGAGUGUUGUCUUGAAGAUCCUUUUAGAUUUGUACAAGGAGGCCUUUGUAUAUGCAGAUAUUCCAGUUUAUUAAUUAAUCUACCAGCGGUGGUUUGGAUUGGCUCAUGACCUUAUGUUGAUGUCCAUUUAUAGAGAACUAAGGGGUCUAUUCUUUUAACCAUGAACCGAUUUAAGUAGCAAGUCCGUUUUUUGUUGGUUAGUUGUAUCAUUGUUCUUCAACACUGAGCACUAAUUGAUAACCAGCCAUGAUCAUCCAUCCAUUGAUUUAGUUUGCUUUUUUCUUUUGUUAGUUCUAGUUAAGUGAAAUCUAUCUGAAGCUUUGAACCUUAACAACGCCCGUGAUUUGACUCUUGGUGUUUGUGAAUUCUGAAUGAAGUAUAAGCAGCCAAUCUUUUUGAAUGAAUUUGUUGAUGAUUUGCAUGGUUAUUCUUCAUUCUGGGUGCAUGGCUAUUCUUGCGUUUGAGCCUUAGGCAAGCAGCAAUGAAAUAUGAUUGCACUGUUUGUGAGCCAUUUAAACUGAAAUCAUUCAUCCAUUUUAUUCAGAUAGUUCAUCCCACUAUUUUGGAUCACUAAUGUACUUCUAUUUCAA